RNAcentral lists this ribosomal RNA (366 nucleotides) under Triticum aestivum (bread wheat). RNAcentral describes it as "partial small subunit ribosomal RNA". Lineage: Eukaryota; Viridiplantae; Streptophyta; Magnoliopsida; Poales; Poaceae. The record is from RNAcentral.
AUGGGGCGGCGCGCCAUGGAGGUUCGGGCAUGGCUGCAGGAGGUGGGAGGCGGGGCACUUGGGGCGCGGUGUUGCUGGACGACGCCGGGGACGAGGCGCAUGAGAGGAGAGGCGCUCGGGCCAGGCGCGGGUGCGAGGGCUGCUGCGGGAGGCGCUCAGGAUCGAGAGGGAGAGAGUGAGAUGGGGAUCGAGAAGCAGCGCUGCUCUCUCCCUGGUGCGAAGCGUGAGGCGGCGGGAGGAGGAAACGAGAGAGAGAAAGGGAUCCAACAGGGGAUGAGGCUAGGGUUCGGGAGGGAGUGGGCGUCGGGCCUAAGUGGCCUGCAGCUACAGGAGGCCCAAGAGGCUAGGCUGGGCUCCCUCUCUUAA